GGCCCGCACAAGCGGUGGAGCAUGUGGUUUAAUUCGACGCAACGCGAAGAACCUUACCUGGGUUUGACAUGCACCAGACAUCCCUAGAGAUAGGGCUUCCCUUGUGGUUGGUGUGCAGGUGGUGCAUGGCUGUCGUCAGCUCGUGUCGUGAGAUGUCGGGUUAAGUCCCUUAACGAGCGAAACCCUUGUCUCUAGUUGCCAGCGCGUUAUGGCGGGGACUCUAGAGAGACUGCCGGUGUUAAACCGGAGGAAGGUGGGGAUGA
This 263-nucleotide ribosomal RNA is filed under the name Durinskia baltica. RNAcentral's name for it is "partial Bacterial small subunit ribosomal RNA". It matches the Rfam family "Bacterial small subunit ribosomal RNA", at positions 918 to 1182 of the family's 1533-position model. The record is from RNAcentral. Lineage: Eukaryota; Dinophyceae; Peridiniales; Kryptoperidiniaceae.